UAAUACGGAGGGUGCAAGCGUUAAUCGGAAUUACUGGGCGUAAAGCGCACGCAGGCGGUUUGUUAAGUCAGAUGUGAAAUCCCCGGGCUCAACCUGGGAACUGCAUUUGAAACUGGCAAGCUAGAGUCUCGUAGAGGGGGGUAGAAUUCCAGGUGUAGCGGUGAAAUGCGUAGAGAUCUGGAGGAAUACCGGUGGCGAAGGCGGCCCCCUGGACGAAGACUGACGCUCAGGUGCGAAAGCGUGGGGAGCAAACAGGAUUAGAUACCCUGGUAGUCCACGCUGUAAACGAUGUCGAUUUGGAGGUUGUGCCCUUGAGGCGUGGCCUCCGGAGCUAACGCGUUAAAUCGACCGCCUGGGGAGUACGGCCGCAAGGUUA
This 376-nucleotide ribosomal RNA is filed under the name uncultured Serratia sp. Its description in RNAcentral is "bacterial SSU rRNA". It matches the Rfam family "Bacterial small subunit ribosomal RNA", at positions 521 to 896 of the family's 1533-position model. The record is from RNAcentral. Lineage: Bacteria; Pseudomonadati; Pseudomonadota; Gammaproteobacteria; Enterobacterales; Yersiniaceae.